RNAcentral lists this ribosomal RNA (247 nucleotides) under uncultured Mycobacterium sp. RNAcentral's name for it is "partial 16S ribosomal RNA". It matches the Rfam family "Bacterial small subunit ribosomal RNA", at positions 527 to 773 of the family's 1533-position model. Lineage: Bacteria; Bacillati; Actinomycetota; Actinomycetes; Mycobacteriales; Mycobacteriaceae. The record is from RNAcentral.
GUAGGGUCCGAGCGUUGUCCGGAAUUACUGGGCGUAAAGAGCUCGUAGGUGGUUUGUCGCGUUGUCCGUGAAAUCCCACAACUCAAUUGUGGGUCUGCGGGCGAUACGGGCAGACUGGAGUACUGCAGGGGAGACUGGAAUUCCUGGUGUAGCGGUGGAAUGCGCAGAUAUCAGGAGGAACACCGGUGGCGAAGGCGGGUCUCUGGGCAGUAACUGACGCUGAGGAGCGAAAGCGUGGGGAGCGAAC